Camelus ferus (Wild Bactrian camel) is the source of this 72-nucleotide transfer RNA. It matches the Rfam family "tRNA". Rfam says of the family: Transfer RNA (tRNA) molecules are approximately 80 nucleotides in length. Their secondary structure includes four short double-helical elements and three loops (D, anti-codon, and T loops). NCBI's taxonomy places the organism in Eukaryota, Metazoa, Chordata, Mammalia, Artiodactyla, Camelidae. The record is from Rfam.
GAGGGUAUAGCUCAGUGGUAGAGUGCGUGCCUAGCAUGCACAAGGUCCUGAGUUCAAUCCCUAGUAUCUCUA